GGGGAUAUGGUGUAGUGGGAUCACGUCCGCUUUGCAUGCGGAAGGUCGUGGGUUCAAACCCCACUGUCUCCA
This is a non-coding RNA of Piptocephalis cylindrospora, 72 nucleotides long. The record is from the annotation of a GenBank genome assembly. Lineage: Eukaryota; Fungi; Zoopagomycota; Zoopagomycetes; Zoopagales; Piptocephalidaceae.